Molecule: ribosomal RNA, 252 nt
Filed under: uncultured bacterium
Lineage: Bacteria
Description: partial 16S ribosomal RNA
Rfam family: Bacterial small subunit ribosomal RNA
Source: RNAcentral
ACGGAGGGUGCAAGCGUUGUUCGGAUUCACUGGGCAUAAAGAGCACGUAGGCGGCUCGCUCAGUCAGGUGUGAAAGCCCACGGCUCAACCGUGGAACUGCACCUGAUACUGGCGAGCUCGAGGAUGGAAGGGGUGAGUGGAACUCCAGGUGGAACGGUGAAAUGUAUAGAUAUCUGGAGGAACACCGGUGGCGAAAGCGGCUCACUGGUCCAUUUCUGACGCUGAGGUGCGAAAGCUAGGGUAGCGAACGGG